This is a long non-coding RNA of Sander lucioperca (pikeperch), 1149 nucleotides long. RefSeq lists it as uncharacterized. The record is from RefSeq and is a predicted model, not a curated record. Lineage: Eukaryota; Metazoa; Chordata; Actinopteri; Perciformes; Percidae. The transcript is spliced from 2 exons.
UCAUUAUCGAUUAAUCUGACGAGUAUUUUACUGAUUAAAACAAUUCAUCGUUUGGUCUAAAGGAAAUAGUAAAAAAAUGUCCAGCCAAAAGUGAUGCCAUCAAAUUCUUUAUGUUCCAAAAUACAUUGUUAAUUAUAACAUUAGACAAGAAAAGCUGCAAAUUGAGAAAAUGAAACAGGGUCAUGUUUGACAUUUUUUUCUAAUUCAUUAUCAAAAAUAGUCACCUAAUAUUUUUGUGUCGAUCAACUAUUGGAUUAAUCAACUCUAGUUGAUAAUAAUCCCUCAUUACAUGGGAAAGGUAUGUGCACAUAUGUAAUAUGAUAAAGCGUAUAAGUUGAAGCAGUAGUUUUGGUAUUAUUUUAAUGUUCACCUUCGUUUUUUCUUCCUAACUGAUGAAUGAAAAAAAGACCCAAGUUCUAAUAAACCGGUAUGAUCCUUUAAGUAAGUAAUACAGAGGACACACCGCAGACUACCAACUCACAUUCACGCACACUCCCAAACCUCCAUGCAGGAAGCAUGUAGCAAAGGAACAGGAACUGAUGCUGGGGUAUUAACCAAAACACAGACAUCAUUAUUGCCUCAUUUCAACAGUACAACACACACAUACAAUACACACGUUGCAACCUGCAAAACAACCGCCUUUCCAUACAUUGGAUUUAUUCCAAAAAUAUAUAUAAUGUUUAUAUAUACUGUUUACAUUUAUAUUACGUUUACAUAUUACCAAGAAGAAUAGCCACAACCUAAUACAGGUUUAAAUUUCACAAAUAUUACAUUAAACAGCUCUGAGGGUGAUAUGAAUUAGUAUGUGCACAUCAGUGUUUUUUUUGCAUGUGUGUAUACAUGUGUCUGUGCUUUCUUUGUAUCUGCAUACCUCUCCUUUGACCUGAAGAUGCACGCUGUACCUCAGACAGAGCUUAAACACACACACACACACACACACACACACACACGUCUACACACAUGGAUACAACAGCACACACACCUCUAAACUACCGGAAUCUGUCAGAGGUUUGCGGAGGAAGUGACACAUAAUGCUCUAAAAUCUGAUGCUCCAAAUUAACAAAAAGAGAGCAUUUAUGUUCCACAUGAUCAAAGCAAAGAAAUCUUACUUGGACUGAGAAAUUAUUCCAGUAGCAUGUAUGAAAAAAA